GGCUCUGUGGCACAAUGGAUAGCGCAUUGGACUUCUAGGCUGUGAGCUGAGCCAUUCAAAGGUUGUGGGUUUGAGUCCUACCAGAGUUG
RNAcentral lists this transfer RNA (89 nucleotides) under Danio rerio (zebrafish). It matches the Rfam family "tRNA". Rfam says of the family: Transfer RNA (tRNA) molecules are approximately 80 nucleotides in length. Their secondary structure includes four short double-helical elements and three loops (D, anti-codon, and T loops). Lineage: Eukaryota; Metazoa; Chordata; Actinopteri; Cypriniformes; Danionidae. The record is from Rfam by way of RNAcentral.